AGAUUAAACUGAAGAGUUUGAUCAUGGCUCAGAUUGAACGCUGGCGGCAGGCUUAACACAUGCAAGUCGAGCGGAAACGAUGGGAGCUUGCUCCCAGGCGUCGAGCGGCGGACGGGUGAGUAACGCGUAGGAAUCUACCCAGUAGAGGGGGAUAGCCCGGUGAAAACCGGAUUAAUACCGCAUACGCCCCACGGGGGAAAGGCCGGGAUCUUCGGACCGGUCACUAUUGGAUGAGCCUGCGUAAGAUUAGCUAGUUGGUAGGGUAAAGGCCUACCAAGGCGACGAUUUUUAGCUGGUCUGAGAGGAUGAUCAGCCACACUGGAACUGAGACACGGUCCAGACUCCUACGGGAGGCAGCAGGGGGGAAUAUUGGACAAUGGGG
Molecule: ribosomal RNA, 382 nt
Filed under: Gammaproteobacteria bacterium
Lineage: Bacteria; Pseudomonadati; Pseudomonadota; Gammaproteobacteria
Description: bacterial SSU rRNA
Rfam family: Bacterial small subunit ribosomal RNA
Source: RNAcentral